This 467-nucleotide ribosomal RNA is filed under the name uncultured bacterium. RNAcentral's name for it is "partial 16S ribosomal RNA". It matches the Rfam family "Bacterial small subunit ribosomal RNA", at positions 29 to 507 of the family's 1533-position model. The record is from RNAcentral.
ACGAACGCUGGCGGCGUGCUUAACACAUGCCAGUCGAACGGAAAGGCCCUGCUUUUGUGGGGUGCUCGAGUGGCGAACGGGUGAGUAACACGUGAGUAACCUGCCCUUGACUUUGGGAUAACUUCAGGAAACUGGGGCUAAUACCGGAUAGGAGCUCCUGCUGCAUGGUGGGGGUUGGAAAGUUUCGGCGGUUGGGGAUGGACUCGCGGCUUAUCAGCUUGUUGGUGGGGUAGUGGCUUACCAAGGCUUUGACGGGUAGCCGGCCUGAGAGGGUGACCGGCCACAUUGGGACUGAGAUACGGCCCAGACUCCUACGGGAGGCAGCAGUGGGGAAUAUUGCACAAUGGGCGGAAGCCUGACGCAGCAACGCCGCGUGCGGGAUGACGGCCUUCGGGUUGUAAACCGCUUUCGCCUGUGACGAAGCGUGAGUGACGGUAAUGGGUAAAGAAGCACCGGCUAACUACGUG